RNAcentral lists this unclassified non-coding RNA (235 nucleotides) under Tolypocladium sp. Its description in RNAcentral is "partial contains small subunit ribosomal RNA, internal transcribed spacer 1, and 5.8S ribosomal RNA". The stretch from base 1 to 46 matches the Rfam family "Eukaryotic small subunit ribosomal RNA", at positions 1786 to 1831 of the family's 1831-position model. The record is from RNAcentral. Lineage: Eukaryota; Fungi; Ascomycota; Sordariomycetes; Hypocreales; Ophiocordycipitaceae.
AAGUCGUAACAAGGUCUCCGUUGGUGAACCAGCGGAGGGAUCAUUACCGAGUUAUCAACUCCCAAACCCCUGUGAACAUACCCAACGUUGCUUCGGCGGGACCGCCCCGGCGCCUCGGCGUCCCGGAACCAGGCGCCCGCCGGAGGACCCAAACUCUUGUUUAACCAUAGUGGCAUAUUCUGAGUCUCACAAGAAAAAUGAAUCAAAACUUUCAACAACGGAUCUCUUGGCUCUG